GGAAAAGGGGCAACAGAAAAUUGGACCUUCCAAGUGUACUUGUGGAGAUGCGGGCUGAGAAGGAGCGGAACCGGCACCCAGCAUGAUGAGAACAUCUGGUUGCUCCUCAGCGAGGCAAGAGAGAAUGAAGCGGCCUUGCAGCGGGAGGAGAUGGUCCAGAAUGCUGCCUUCAACCAGUCAUUCCUGGGUGUACUGGGGCAGCUGGUGCAGGCAGUGGGCAGCCAGUGAGUCCACCUCCCAGAGACUUGAGAUUUAGUUGUAUAUAGUUUUACUUUUAGCCCUCCACUGUAGGAGAGGCCCACCACAGUUUGUACUUUGCACAUUGUAAAUAGUUUUGAUUUUGCUGCUGACUAAUAAACUAUUUUGUGACUUAUG
This is a long non-coding RNA of Amphiprion ocellaris (clown anemonefish), 375 nucleotides long. RefSeq lists it as uncharacterized. The transcript has 2 exons. NCBI's taxonomy places the organism in Eukaryota, Metazoa, Chordata, Actinopteri, Pomacentridae. The record is from RefSeq and is a predicted model, not a curated record.